RNAcentral lists this ribosomal RNA (445 nucleotides) under uncultured bacterium. Its description in RNAcentral is "partial 16S ribosomal RNA". It matches the Rfam family "Bacterial small subunit ribosomal RNA", at positions 354 to 796 of the family's 1533-position model. The record is from RNAcentral.
GUGAGGAAUAUUGCGCAAUGGAGGCAACUCUGACGCAGCCAUGCCGCGUGCAGGAAGAAGGCGCUACGCGUUGUAAACUGCUUUUAACCGGGAAGAAACCCCAGGACGUGUCCUGGGUUGACGGUACCGGAGGAAUAAGCACCGGCUAACUUCGUGCCAGCAGCCGCGGUAAUACGAAGGGUGCAAGCGUUAUCCGGAUUCAUUGGGUUUAAAGGGUGCGUAGGCGGAGCGUUAAGUCAGUGGUGAAAUCCUGCAGCUUAACUGUAGACUUGCCAUUGAUACUGGCGCUCUUGAGUGCGCUGGAAGUGGGCGGAAUGUGCCGUGUAGCGGUGAAAUGCUUAGAUAUGGCACAGAACACCAAUUGCGAAGGCAGCUCACUAAGGCGAUACUGACGCUGAGGCACGAAAGCGUGGGGAUCGAACAGGAUUAGAUACCCGGGUAGUCC